RNAcentral lists this ribosomal RNA (582 nucleotides) under Botryosphaeria dothidea. RNAcentral describes it as "eukaryotic LSU rRNA". The stretch from base 210 to 363 matches the Rfam family "5.8S ribosomal RNA". Lineage: Eukaryota; Fungi; Ascomycota; Dothideomycetes; Botryosphaeriales; Botryosphaeriaceae. The record is from RNAcentral.
UCCGUAGGUGAACCUGCGGAAGGAUCAUUACCGAGUUGAUUCGGGCUCCGGCCCGAUCCUCCCACCCUUUGUGUACCUACCUCUGUUGCUUUGGCGGGCCGCGGUUCUCCGCGGCCGCCCCCCUCCCCGGGGGGUGGCCAGCGCCCGCCAGAGGACCAUCAAACUCCAGUCAGUAAACGAUGCAGUCUGAAAAACAUUUAAUAAACUAAAACUUUCAACAACGGAUCCCUUGGUUCUGGCAUCGAUGAAGAACGCAGCGAAAUGCGAUAAGUAAUGUGAAUUGCAGAAUUCAGUGAAUCAUCGAAUCUUUGAACGCACAUUGCGCCCUUUGGUAUUCCGAAGGGCAUGCCUGUUCGAGCGUCAUUACAACCCUCAAGCUCUGCUUGGUAUUGGGCACCGUCCUUUGCGGGCGCGCCUCAAAGACCUCGGCGGUGGCGUCUUGCCUCAAGCGUAGUAGAACAUACAUCUCGCUUCGGAGCGCAGGGCGUCGCCCGCCGGACGAACCUUCUGAACUUUUCUCAAGGUUGACCUCGGAUCAGGUAGGGAUACCCGCUGAACUUAAGCAUAUCAAUAAGCGGAGGA